ACAUUUCUAGCUUGCUAGAAGAUGACGAGCGGCGGACGGGUGAGUAAUGCUUGGGAACAUGCCUUGAGGUGGGGGACAACCGUUGGAAACGACGGCUAAUACCGCAUAAUCUCUACGGAGCAAAGGGGGCUUUUAGCUCUCGCCUUUAGAUUGGCCCAAGUGGGAUUAGCUAGUUGGUGAGGUAAUGGCUCACCAAGGCGACGAUCCCUAGCUGGUUUGAGAGGAUGAUCAGCCACACUGGAACUGAAACACGGUCCAGACUCCUACGGGAGGCAGCAGUGGGGAAUAUUGCACAAUGGGCGCAAGCCUGAUGCAUCCAUGCCGCGUGUGUGAAGAAGGCCUUAGGGUUGUAAAGCACUUUC
RNAcentral lists this ribosomal RNA (362 nucleotides) under Pseudoalteromonas sp. N3mIS8. RNAcentral describes it as "bacterial SSU rRNA". It matches the Rfam family "Bacterial small subunit ribosomal RNA", at positions 69 to 437 of the family's 1533-position model. Lineage: Bacteria; Pseudomonadati; Pseudomonadota; Gammaproteobacteria; Alteromonadales; Pseudoalteromonadaceae. The record is from RNAcentral.